UGGACGGUUGGGCCCCUUCCCUUCCCUUCCCUUCUCUAAUCCUCAGCCUCCCCGCAACAGAUCUCUGAGCCCUGGCCUCUCCUUGCGGGGUCGGGGGGGAGAGAGAUGCAAGUGAGGCUGGGCAGAUCUUGCCUAACCACUCCUGGCCAAGUUCCAACUCCAUUGGGAUAAGGGGAAAGGCUCCCACAGUUAGCAUAUUUGCUAUUAUUGUUAUUUUUAAGCGUUUAGCAUGUGCCAGGCACAGCGCUAAGUUCUUUUAUCAUACAUCAUCUCUUUAAAACUUCACACCAGAUCUACGAGACAGGUACUCUGUCUCCCAGAGCUUGCCCAAGACCACACAGCGAGAACCAGGAUUUUCUCUGCUGGACACUUCUCAAUGCCUCUGACUGCUGCCUCCAAGGAGGGCGUGUUGCCCAGGGAACUGAGAUGAAGAAACAACUCCAGCGUUGCACAAGGUCCCACAGGGAUCAGUCACGUGGUCGGCCACAACAGAGGGUUCCUCAUGACAGGGGACCAUGAGUUGGAUCCUGGCCAGAAGUCAGAAGCCCCUUGAGGGCAAGGACCCCAUUUUACCCCAUUCCUCCCUGCUGUACCUAGCACAGGGCACAGCACAUAGUAGGUGCUCAAAAAGUCCUUCCCGAGUAAAUCUUGCAUCCCUCAGUAGCUGCAGUCACCUGCCGUUCAUGCCGUCAUUCAUUUAUUCAGCAUUUAGUAAGCGCUGACUGUGUGCUUGGCACCCUAGUAGGCGCUGGGACGCACAGUUGAAAAAGGCACAGUGCCUGCCCCUGUUGGCUUAUCUCCUGGUGGGGGUUUCAGGGGUUACCCCACAUUAUGACACAUGCCCCCAUAGUUUUUCUCAUUCCUCUGCCCAGCCUGGUACUUGCCGCCUGCUCUUUGCCCAUGCCGGAGGCUGAGCAGUCUGCUCCACUCCCGCCCCCAGGCCAUUCCCACUGUCUUCUUGGCCAGACCAGACAACCCUUCCUCCCAAGCCGCCUCCCUCCCCUCCUCCAGGAAGCCCUCUUUGACUAAGUCCCCCAGCCGCUCUGCAGGCCCCAGUGCUGAGGUCUUGAGCUCUGCCCAGGUAUCUCUGGUUCUGUCUCUCUGUUUCUGUUUCCCCCCGUCAGCCUCUGGAGCUUCCCAAACACAGGGACUGCCUCCCCUCCAGCUGUUUUUCCUCAGGCCUACAUAGACCAGAAGAGGCAGGAAGGGAGGUCAUGUGGUCAGCUCCCAGCACACAGGGCCUGCCUUGGGCCCUGGCCCCGGGAGCCCCUUAGAGGAAGAUUUCUCUGGAACUACUAGGGCACUGACUUAGUCUUGGCCCAAGACCCCUGAGCCCUGAUCUUCCUCACUGUGCCUGGGGGCUCAGGCUGGACACCAGCUGUUGGGUACCCACUCAGCUCCAGCACCCUUUGUGUUUGAAGUUCGGGACCUUCAGUCUGCACUUCACCAACUCCUGGGCUUGGCCAUUUUACUGUCCCCGUGGCAGGUAGUCUACAGGUAGUUGGGAGGACCAGAGACCAAGGAGAAGAAAGAGCCAAGCCCAGCUGUUACAGUUCGGAGUGCUCAAUCAAGACACGUGCUAUUCCUGGUAGGAGUGAACCCAGCCAUCUUGUCAGAUCCCCAGACACCCUUUUAGGUAAGUAGGGAAGCUGUAUGCUCAUUUUACAGAUGGGAAAAGUGAGGCUCUGUUUGAGGUCUCAUUCCAGUGAGUGGGUGAGCCAGGACACGAAUGCUUUAAAGGCCCCUCUUCACCCCCAAGAUUCCUGUCCUUGAGACAUCUCUUCUUCCUGUUCUGAUCCCCGGGUUCCCUGAACCAGCCCCUCUCCCCUGCCUUCUUCAUUUGGAGAGGAAGUUCAGCUGGCUACCCUGAGCAGAUAGCUCCUCUCUUGACCUGAUAGUGAGCUUCUCGAGGUGGCGGGGUGGGGAAUGCUCAGAGGUGUCUUACCACAGGGCUGGGCUUAGAUAAGGCCCUCAAUCCUUGUUUGUUGAUCUAGAAUUUGAUUGGGCAGGAUUAGGCCUGUACCUAUCAGAAAAUAUUCUGGGCUGUGCCAGCCAGCACAGUCGGACAGAAGUGCUUGAGGGGAGAACUGCCACCACAUAGGGAAUCCCCCGUGUCUGUGCUUGCUGAGGCGGCCACGUGGUGCCUGGGCAUAUCGGGAGGCGCUGGGAACAU
This is a long non-coding RNA of Physeter macrocephalus (sperm whale), 2173 nucleotides long. RefSeq lists it as uncharacterized. Lineage: Eukaryota; Metazoa; Chordata; Mammalia; Artiodactyla; Physeteridae. The record is from RefSeq and is a predicted model, not a curated record. The transcript has 4 exons.